UAGGGAAUAUUAGAAAUGGACGAAAGUCUGAUCUAGCAACACCGCGUGUGCGAAGAAGGCCUUCGGGUCGUAAAGCACUUUUUGGAAGGAAUAGGAAGGAAUGUACUUCCAGAAUAAGUCUCGGCUAACUACGUGCCAGCAGCCGCGGUAACACGUAGGAGGCAAACGUUAUCCGGAUUUACUGGGCGUAAAGCGCGUGUAGGUGGUUCUGUAGUAGGGCGUGAAAGCUCCUGGCUCAACUGGGAGAGGCCGUUCUAAACUGCAGAGCUAGAGGAUGGUAGAGGGAGGUGGAAGUCCGGGUGUAGCGGUGGAAUGCGCAGAUAUCCGGAGGAACACCAGUGGCGAAAGCGGCCUCCUGGACCAUUCCUGACACUCAGGCGCGAAAGCUAGGGUAGCAAACU
Molecule: ribosomal RNA, 401 nt
Filed under: uncultured prokaryote
Description: bacterial SSU rRNA
Rfam family: Bacterial small subunit ribosomal RNA
Source: RNAcentral